Molecule: long non-coding RNA, 1641 nt
Filed under: Musa acuminata (dwarf banana)
Lineage: Eukaryota; Viridiplantae; Streptophyta; Magnoliopsida; Zingiberales; Musaceae
Description: long non-coding RNA (MACU_LNC005187)
Source: RNAcentral
UCUUAUAUCAAAUAGAUAAGACAUGUGUAUGGAGACUUAAAAUAAUCAUGUUAAGAAUGAAAUGUGCAUGAGAUGAAGCAAGAACUCCAUUUUUUGUUUUCUUGUCAGUAUACAUGUAUAACAGAUUAUGAUAUUUUUAAUCUUGGUUUCUAAGCAUGAGUGACAAACUUUCACAUUUAACAUAUGUGGUGUCAAAUUCCAACUAUACCUCAGACAGAUGCAUGACAUAUAAUUUUUUGCCUUUCUGGGGUUAAAAUUAUUUGUAUGUCAUAUAGAGUUUCUAACAGGAGAUUAUAUGGUGACCUUUGUCUUUAUAUUUGACAUCACCAAUUUUGACAAAGUACUAAACUUUUGUGCUAAUAUGCAGUUGUGUGCAACUGUGCAUCAUAUGUGCUAUGGGCAUGCCUGCUCAUCGGGCAGGUUCAGAGAAAUUACUGGUUCACCGCAAUCGUUUGUUGUUCUUUUUCACCCAUAGUUUCACUAUAUGUAUAAUGAAUCAACUAGACUUACCUGGAUGCUUAUGGAAGUUCGAAUGGAAGAUCCAGUCAAUCAACUUAUAAAGCUCUUUGUUUGGUUACAAAUAGGUGAUUCCAUUUGCAUCACACUCAUCUCCAGUGUCCUGCCUAAGUUAGUGACUAUGAGGAAUCCACUUUGCUACACUACUUGUGCUAUCUGUCUCCAGCUGCAACAUGCCUAUUACCCAGGGUACCUUCUUCUCAUGUGGUUCCCUACACGCACAUGAUUGUGCUUCUCACCUGGUCCGUACCCACAUCCAGGCCAUGUUAGCGACUGACUACAGUCUCUGCCAGCACCAUCUGAUAUGUCUCCUGCGACUCAUGUGGUGUUUCUUCAGAACUUAAACCAGGUGAGAAGCACACUACUUGUGCUAUCUGUCUCCAGCUGCAACAUGCCUAUUACCCAGGGUGCCUUCUUCUCAUGUGAUUCCCUACAUGCACAUGAUUGUGCUUCUCACCUUGUCCGUACCCACAUCCAGGCCAUGUUAGCGACUGACUGCAGUCUCCGCCAGCACCAUCUGAUAUGUCUCCUGCGACUCAUGUGGUGUUUCUUCAGAACUUAAACCGAAGGGCUGAAUCAGAUAAGGAAUUGUUGAUUCCUCAAACUGCAGGAAUAGGGUUGGUGACCAUGUUUCCCAACCAGAUGUGGUUUUGUGUACCUGUUCUCAUUGUCACAAGCCUGGGAACCAGUGAGAAGCAUAGUAACAACUGUAAUCUAGUGACAAAAUUAUAUUUUUACUAAUAUUUGGGCCUAUGCAGGGUUUCGGUACUGGAAUUGUGUGAAUAAAAGGAGCACGUGAGCCCCAAAGGCAUGUCAAGAGUGGUAUUAUUUUUUGUUAUUUUAUCUGCAAUCUGCAAUUCCUGGCAAGAAAAUUGGUUACAUUUCUUUUAGAUUAAUCCUCGGAGACUUCUUGUCUUCUUCAAACUAGAGACACUUGACAAUUUGGCACUAGAACUUGGGUCACUUGACAUCCGACAGGUUUGUACUAUGGCAAUCGUUGUUAUGAAUUAUCCAUUGAAAGUGGAUCUGAGCAUAUCUUGUUCAUAUUAUACAUUUUGUUUCUACCUGUUGAGUGGAAAAUGUAUUUUACAAAAGUAAUAAUCUGUUAACUUCUCUACAGUCUCA